UACGUAGGGCGCAAGCGUUAUCCGGAAUUCUUGGGCGUAAAGAGCUCGUAGGUGGUUUGUCGCGUUGUCCGUGAAAACUCACAACUCAAUUGUGGGCGUGCGGGCGAUACGGGCAGACUGGAGUACUGCAGGGGAGACUGGAAUUCCUGGUGUAGCGGUGGAAUGCGCAGAUAUCAGGAGGAACACCGGUGGCGAAGGCGGGUCUCUGGGCAGUAACUGACGCUGAGGAGCGAAAGCGUGGGGAGCGAACAGG
Molecule: ribosomal RNA, 253 nt
Filed under: uncultured bacterium
Lineage: Bacteria
Description: partial 16S ribosomal RNA
Rfam family: Bacterial small subunit ribosomal RNA
Source: RNAcentral